CAUUUGGGCUAUUUAUGUAGCAAUUCAUCAGACUCAGCAAUCGAGUAAACGCAGUUAAAGAGUAAGGUUGUAGUGUUGGCAUGAAGAAUCGUAAUACGAAUUUAAUGACUAUCGUGCCUUACUGUCAAGAUGAAUAAUGGCCAACUCAGAUAUUCUUUGAGUAUGUUUCUCCUAAAGCUAACUUACCAAUGUUUAGUGCAGAUGCUGAUAACUUUUUAGUUUGUUUCAAAGUUGUGUAGUUCAGAUUCCGAAAUUUUGUGUACGAUUUAUAGAAGAUGCUAUGUAAGAUGAUGACAGCAUACUCUGUACAUGUGAGUUCAGCAUGGUUCGAUGAUGUAUGAUUUUUUUUAAAGAAAACUAUGACUACAAGGACCUACAACAAACCUAAGUCUGCACAAGGGUAAAUAAAUAUAUCACCAACUCUUACCUACUUGGACCUUAUAGAGCCUGAAGAUUUUCUUGGAGACAGGUCAAAAAGCAGAUCCAAAAGAAUUAAAGAAACAAAGGGAAAGGAGAGGUAUGCACUAAACAGGGAUGAGAUAUUAAAAGGAAGACACGAGGCAAGGGAUAAUAACAAAGCUACAUCUCCUUUCUAAAUUGAAAGCGCACUCCAUCUAAGACACCCGUGGCCAUAUCACCUGAUUUUCACACUGCGGAGAAGCCCACUGGGCAAUCUGCUUUCACUCAACUGCGAUACACACCAGCUGCGGAAGGUGAUGUUUUUAAGUUCAAUGGUUUGAGUUUAUGAAACAAAUGGUUGUCCAGUUGCUUCUGCUGUUUGCAACACAAGCAUAUAGAGCUAAAAUUAUCAACCACCGGAGAAAGCGAUUUUCUGAGACAACACGCUGAUAAACACCACUUAUCAAGCAUCACCAUCAGAAGAGACUAACUGGAAAAACCAAACUCUUAAAAAGGCUGCAAGCGAAGAGAACGUACCUCAAUAUGAGGUUGCUUGCUAUUAUGAAAGCGAGGUGCACUUGGUGUGUAUACAUCAUCCAGUGAAUCCAAGCUUGCUUCCCUUCACAUAUGCACAAGAAGAUUUCACAAAAAUCUAGCAAUCAAGGAACAUUUGACAAUCACAAUUAGACUAAGCAAGGAAGAUGUACCUGCACUGUAGCUAAACACUAGAACCCAACUGCAUACUGUACCUGUCCCAUAGUUGAUUGACUUGAUUCUGUCAGAGCUAAACCUGCAUGCAUUUUGAUAAUAGUUAGACGAAAAAAAUAUUAUUUACAUAGCAUUCAUUUGAGUUACAGAAGCUAUGCAAAUGCAUGUUGAUUGCCUCAACGAUCAGGAAAUUUUCCAGUACUGCAGCCCCAUGGAAUGCAUUGUUAUGUAUAUGUUAUUUUUCAUGCCAUGAAACUGUUGUUCAGAUAAACAACAAUGCAUCUUGUCAGAAAUGAGAAAAAAGAUUAGCUAGAGCAUCCUGAAUUACAUUUAAGAAUGUUCAGACCAAGCAAGACUAAUCAAAUAUGCCUUAUUGGUAUGGCAUUAUAUAGAGAUAUUAUGUAGUCACUGAAUAAACUACAAAUAAGUUCCAACUUAAGACUGCAAUUGUACCAGUGUAAAAGAGCAGUUUCCACAGACUAUAGAAUUGCAUGAGCAAUGGAUUACAUUACAACAUUUCUGAU
Molecule: long non-coding RNA, 1631 nt
Organism: Aegilops tauschii subsp. strangulata
Lineage: Eukaryota; Viridiplantae; Streptophyta; Magnoliopsida; Poales; Poaceae
Source: RefSeq, a predicted model, not a curated record